This 116-nucleotide non-coding RNA is filed under the name Gorilla gorilla gorilla (western lowland gorilla). Lineage: Eukaryota; Metazoa; Chordata; Mammalia; Primates; Hominidae. The record is from Rfam by way of RNAcentral.
GCCAGGUGUGGUGGCUCACACCUGUAAUCCCAGCACUUUGGAGGCUGAGGUGGGUGGAUCACUUGAGGUCAGGAGUUUGAGACCAGCCUGGCCAACGUGGUGAAACCCCAUCUCUA